This is a long non-coding RNA of Ixodes scapularis (black-legged tick), 152 nucleotides long. RefSeq lists it as uncharacterized. NCBI's taxonomy places the organism in Eukaryota, Metazoa, Arthropoda, Arachnida, Ixodida, Ixodidae. The record is from RefSeq and is a predicted model, not a curated record. The transcript has 3 exons.
CACACAGCAGCUGAUGAUGAGAGCGACUGCAUUCCUUUUCGUAUGCGCAUUAGCGCUCCAAGGAGUUCUCAAUGAGGAAUUGAAUUUGGCUGAUGCUGAAGGCGAGGAUCAAACUACUGAUACUGCAACGGUCGUGAAGGAUCGUAAGAAUG